Molecule: ribosomal RNA, 490 nt
Filed under: uncultured bacterium
Lineage: Bacteria
Description: partial 16S ribosomal RNA
Rfam family: Bacterial small subunit ribosomal RNA
Source: RNAcentral
AUUGAACGCUGGCGGCAGGCCUAACACAUGCAAGUCGAACGGUAACAGGAAGAAGCUUGCUUCUUUGCUGACGAGUGGCGGACGGGUGAGUAAUGUCUGGGAAACUGCCUGAUGGAGGGGGAUAACUACUGGAAACGGUAGCUAAUACCGCAUAACGUCGCAAGACCAAAGAGGGGGACCUUCGGGCCUCUUGCCAUCGGAUGUGCCCAGAUGGGAUUAGCUAGUAGGUGGGGUAACGGCUCACCUAGGCGACGAUCCCUAGCUGGUCUGAGAGGAUGACCAGCCACACUGGAACUGAGACACGGUCCAGACUCCUACGGGAGGCAGCAGUGGGGAAUAUUGCACAAUGGGCGCAAGCCUGAUGCAGCCAUGCCGCGUGUAUGAAGAAGGCCUUCGGGUUGUAAAGUACUUUCAGCGGGGAGGAAGGGAGUAAAGUUAAUACCUUUGCUCAUUGACGUUACCCGCAGAGGAAGCACCGGCUAACUCCGUG